RNAcentral lists this ribosomal RNA (478 nucleotides) under uncultured bacterium. Its description in RNAcentral is "partial 16S ribosomal RNA". It matches the Rfam family "Bacterial small subunit ribosomal RNA", at positions 28 to 523 of the family's 1533-position model. The record is from RNAcentral.
GACGAACGCUGGCGGCGUGCUUAACACAUGCAAGUCGAACGGUAAGGCCCUUCGGGGUACACGAGUGGCGAACGGGUGAGUAACACGUGGGUGAUCUGCCCUGCACUUCGGGAUAAGCCUGGGAAACUGGGUCUAAUACCGGAUAGGACUCCGGACUGCAUGGUCUGGGGUGGAAAGCUUUUGCGGUGUGGGAUGGGCCCGCGGCCUAUCAGCUUGUUGGUGGGGUGAUGGCCUACCAAGGCGACGACGGGUAGCCGGCCUGAGAGGGUGACCGGCCACACUGGGACUGAGAUACGGCCCAGACUACUACGGGAGGCAGCAGUGGGGAAUAUUGCACAAUGGGCGCAAGCCUGAUGCAGCGACGCCGCGUGAGGGAUGACGGCCUUCGGGUUGUAAACCUCUUUCAGCACAGACGAAGCGCGAGUGACGGUAUGUGCAGAAGAAGGACCGGCCAACUACGUGCCAGCAGCCGCAGUAA